GGUUAAGCGACUAAGCGUACACGGUGGAUGCCCUGGCAGUCAGAGGCGAUGAAGGGCGUGCUAAUCUGCGAUAAGCGCCGGUAAGGUGAUAUGAACCGUUAUAACCGGCGAUACCCGAAUGGGGAAACCCAGUGUGACUCGUCACACUAUCAUUAACUGAAUCCAUAGGUUAAUGAGGCGAACCGGGGGAACUGAAACAUCUAAGUACCCCGAGGAAAAGAAAUCAACCGAGAUUCCCCCAGUAGCGGCGAGCGAACGGGGAGGAGCCCAGAGCCUGAAUCAGCAUGUGUGUUAGUGGAAGCGUCUGGAAAGGCGCGCGAUACAGGGUGACAGCCCCGUACACAAAAGCGCAUGUGCUGUGAGCUCGAUGAGUAGGGCGGGACACGUGGUAUCCUGUCUGAAUAUGGGGGGACCAUCCUCCAAGGCUAAAUACUCCUGACUGACCGAUAGUGAACCAGUACCGUGAGGGAAAGGCGAAAAGAACCCCGGCGAGGGGAGUGAAAAAGAACCUGAAACCGUGUACGUACAAGCAGUGGGAGCCCCACCACUAAGCCAGUGGUGAACUCCACAUACGCAUCCUUUGCUGAGGAUACGGUUAACGGAGCGAAAGCGACGUUCAACCUCAAAAGAAGCAGAGGGGGCUUAGUGGUGGGGUGACUGCGUACCUUUUGUAUAAUGGGUCAGCGACUUAUAUUCUGUAGCAAGGUUAACCGCAUAGGGGAGCCGGAGGGAAACCGAGUCUUAAUUGGGCGUUAAGUUGCAGGGUAUAGACCCGAAACCCGGUGAUCUAGCCAUGGGCAGGUUGAAGGUUGGGUAACACUAACUGGAGGACCGAACCGACUAAUGUUGAAAAAUUAGCGGAUGACCUGUGGCUGGGGGUGAAAGGCCAAUCAAACCGGGAGAUAGCUGGUUCUCCCCGAAAGCUAUUUAGGUAGCGCCUCGUGAAUUCAUCUCCGGGGGUAGAGCACUGUUUCGGCUAGGGGGCCAUCCCGGCUUACCAACCCGAUGCAAACUGCGAAUACCGGAGAAUGUUAUCACGGGAGACACACGGCGGGUGCUAACGUCCGUCGUGAAGAGGGAAACAACCCAGACCGCCAGCUAAGGUCCCAAAGUCAUGGUUAAGUGGGAAACGAUGUGGGAAGGCCCAGACAGCCAGGAUGUUGGCUUAGAAGCAGCCAUCAUUUAAAGAAAGCGUAAUAGCUCACUGGUCGAGUCGGCCUGCGCGGAAGAUGUAACGGGGCUAAACCAUGCACCGAAGCUGCGGCAGCGACACUGUGUGUUGUUGGGUAGGGGAGCGUUCUGUAAGCCUGUGAAGGUGGCCUGUGAGGGUUGCUGGAGGUAUCAGAAGUGCGAAUGCUGACAUAAGUAACGAUAAAGCGGGUGAAAAGCCCGCUCGCCGGAAGACCAAGGGUUCCUGUCCAACGUUAAUCGGGGCAGGGUGAGUCGACCCCUAAGGCGAGGCCGAAAGGCGUAGUCGAUGGGAAACGGGUUAAUAUUCCCGUACUUGGUGUUACUGCGAAGGGGGGACGGAGAAGGCUAUGUUGGCCGGGCGACGGUUGUCCCGGUUUAAGCGUGUAGGUGUGUGUUCCAGGUAAAUCCGGUUCACUUUAACACUGAGGCGUGACGACGAGGCACUACGGUGCUGAAGCAACAAAUGCCCUGCUUCCAGGAAAAGCCUCUAAGCAUCAGGUAACAUCAAAUCGUACCCCAAACCGACACAGGUGGUCAGGUAGAGAAUACCAAGGCGCUUGAGAGAACUCGGGUGAAGGAACUAGGCAAAAUGGUGCCGUAACUUCGGGAGAAGGCACGCUGACACGUAGGUGAAGUGAUUUACUCAUGGAGCUGAAGUCAGUCGAAGAUACCAGCUGGCUGCAACUGUUUAUUAAAAACACAGCACUGUGCAAACACGAAAGUGGACGUAUACGGUGUGACGCCUGCCCGGUGCCGGAAGGUUAAUUGAUGGGGUCAGCGCAAGCGAAGCUCCUGAUCGAAGCCCCGGUAAACGGCGGCCGUAACUAUAACGGUCCUAAGGUAGCGAAAUUCCUUGUCGGGUAAGUUCCGACCUGCACGAAUGGCGUAAUGAUGGCCAGGCUGUCUCCACCCGAGACUCAGUGAAAUUGAACUCGCUGUGAAGAUGCAGUGUACCCGCGGCAAGACGGAAAGACCCCGUGAACCUUUACUAUAGCUUGACACUGAACAUUGAGCCUUGAUGUGUAGGAUAGGUGGGAGGCUUUGAAGUGUGGACGCCAGUCUGCAUGGAGCCGACCUUGAAAUACCACCCUUUAAUGUUUGAUGUUCUAACGUGGACCCGUUACCCGGGUUGCGGACAGUGUCUGGUGGGUAGUUUGACUGGGGCGGUCUCCUCCUAAAGAGUAACGGAGGAGCACGAAGGUUGGCUAAUCCUGGUCGGACAUCAGGAGGUUAGUGCAAUGGCAUAAGCCAGCUUGACUGCGAGCGUGACGGCGCGAGCAGGUGCGAAAGCAGGUCAUAGUGAUCCGGUGGUUCUGAAUGGAAGGGCCAUCGCUCAACGGAUAAAAGGUACUCCGGGGAUAACAGGCUGAUACCGCCCAAGAGUUCAUAUCGACGGCGGUGUUUGGCACCUCGAUGUCGGCUCAUCACAUCCUGGGGCUGAAGUAGGUCCCAAGGGUAUGGCUGUUCGCCAUUUAAAGUGGUACGCGAGCUGGGUUUAGAACGUCGUGAGACAGUUCGGUCCCUAUCUGCCGUGGGCGCUGGAGAACUGAGGGGGGCUGCUCCUAGUACGAGAGGACCGGAGUGGACGCAUCACUGGUGUUCGGGUUGUCAUGCCAAUGGCACUGCCCGGUAGCUAAAUGCGGAAGAGAUAAGUGCUGAAAGCAUCUAAGCACGAAACUUGCCCCGAGAUGAGUUCUCCCUGAGACUUAGAGUCUCCUGAAGGAACGUUGAAGACGACGACGUUGAUAGGCCGGGUGUGUAAGCGCAGCGAUGCGUUGAGCUAACCGGUACUAAUGAACCGUGAGGCUUAACCUU
RNAcentral lists this ribosomal RNA (3006 nucleotides) under Salmonella enterica subsp. enterica serovar Mbandaka. RNAcentral describes it as "23S ribosomal RNA". It matches the Rfam family "Bacterial large subunit ribosomal RNA". The record is from RNAcentral. Lineage: Bacteria; Pseudomonadati; Pseudomonadota; Gammaproteobacteria; Enterobacterales; Enterobacteriaceae.